RNAcentral lists this unclassified non-coding RNA (186 nucleotides) under plant metagenome. Its description in RNAcentral is "partial contains small subunit ribosomal RNA and internal transcribed spacer 1". The stretch from base 1 to 54 matches the Rfam family "Eukaryotic small subunit ribosomal RNA", at positions 1778 to 1831 of the family's 1831-position model. The record is from RNAcentral.
GGAAGCAAAAGUCGUAACAAGGUUUCCGUAGGUGAACCUGCGGAAGGAUCAUUACCAAAUCCGCUGCUGCAGUGCAUGCGCUGCAACACACGCCCGCGGCACGUUCGCUCUGCCGCGACAUUUCUGCGAGUCGUCUGAUUGCCGCGAACACACGAAUGACUUUUAACAAUGGAUCUCUAGGCUCCC